This is a non-coding RNA of Gigantopelta aegis, 73 nucleotides long. NCBI's taxonomy places the organism in Eukaryota, Metazoa, Mollusca, Gastropoda, Neomphalida, Peltospiridae. The record is from the annotation of a RefSeq genome assembly.
GGCCCUGUGGCUUAGUUGGUUAAAGCGCCUGUCUAGUAAACAGGAGAUCACCGGUCGAAUCCGGUCAGGGCCU